AAUCUUAUAGUUUAAAUAAAACAUUAAACUGCAGAUUUAAAGAUAAAUUUUAUAUUUAAGAUUU
This 64-nucleotide transfer RNA is filed under the name Campsomeris sp. 1 PS-2017. RNAcentral describes it as "tRNA-Cys". The record is from RNAcentral. Lineage: Eukaryota; Metazoa; Arthropoda; Insecta; Hymenoptera; Scoliidae. RNAcentral also lists the same sequence under 1 other name.